UUCCUUUACCUUCACAUUUGUAUUAGCCUAGACUUAUUUACUAAUCUACCUCCAAACCUAUCAAGGAGAGGACCAUGAGGGUGUCAAUUAUCCAUCCAUAGAAAAGUGUUCUCCCCAUUCCCUAUUCGACAGUAGGUAGAGAUCCAGUUAACCCAAACAGAGUUGUAUGUGUUUAGGUGUAAUACCCUCAG
Long non-coding RNA from Mangifera indica (mango), 191 nucleotides. RefSeq lists it as uncharacterized. The transcript is spliced from 2 exons. The record is from RefSeq and is a predicted model, not a curated record. NCBI's taxonomy places the organism in Eukaryota, Viridiplantae, Streptophyta, Magnoliopsida, Sapindales, Anacardiaceae.